Molecule: ribosomal RNA, 51 nt
Filed under: Hammondia hammondi
Lineage: Eukaryota; Apicomplexa; Conoidasida; Eucoccidiorida; Sarcocystidae
Description: partial 18S ribosomal RNA
Rfam family: Eukaryotic small subunit ribosomal RNA
Source: RNAcentral
GAAGAGAGUCGUAACAAGGUUUCCGUAGGUGAACCUGCGGAAGGAUCAUUC